GAUGAAGAACGUAGCGAAAUGCGAUAAGUAGUGUGAAUUGCAGAAUUCAGUGAAUCAUCGAAUCUUUGAACGCACAUUGCGCCCCUUGGUACUCCAUGGGGCAUGCCUGUUCGAGCGUCAUUUACACCCUCAAGCUCUGCUUGGUGUUGGGCGUCUGUCCCGCUCCGUGCGCGGACUCGCCUUAAAUGUAUUGGCAGCGGUAUCGCCGGCUUCUCGCGCAGCACAGUGCGCUUCUUGAGGCUCCCGGCGGAUCGGCGUCCAUCAAGUACACCCACAGUUUGACCUCGGAUCAGGUAGGGAUACCCGCUGAACUUAAGCAUAUCAAUAAGCGGAGGAA
RNAcentral lists this unclassified non-coding RNA (337 nucleotides) under soil metagenome. RNAcentral's name for it is "partial contains 5.8S ribosomal RNA, internal transcribed spacer 2, and large subunit ribosomal RNA". The stretch from base 1 to 120 matches the Rfam family "5.8S ribosomal RNA", at positions 35 to 154 of the family's 154-position model. The record is from RNAcentral.